Small nucleolar RNA from Impatiens glandulifera, 86 nucleotides. RefSeq annotates it as small nucleolar RNA Z102/R77. The record is from RefSeq and is a predicted model, not a curated record. Lineage: Eukaryota; Viridiplantae; Streptophyta; Magnoliopsida; Ericales; Balsaminaceae. The transcript has a single exon.
GGAUGAUGUGAUGAUUUGGUUAAUUUCCCUAUUGGUUUGAUCACCGGGAUGAUGGUGUCUAUUGUAUUAGCUCUAUCUGAUCAUUC